Bombina bombina (fire-bellied toad) is the source of this 2579-nucleotide RNA transcript. It is a transcript of the gene named zinc finger protein 184-like, with no coding region annotated. The record is from RefSeq and is a predicted model, not a curated record. NCBI's taxonomy places the organism in Eukaryota, Metazoa, Chordata, Amphibia, Anura, Bombinatoridae. The transcript is spliced from 4 exons.
CUUUACUGCAGUCAGAUAUACAGAGCUAUGAGCUAAGGCAGAUAUUCAGGGGUCUUUGUACAAUACAGACAGAUAUGUUCCUCCUUUUUGUUCCUUUUCAUCUGCCUUUCCCUUUCUUCUCCUCCCUCGGUCUGAUUGGGACCUCACUAGCUGCGCAGGAAGUGACUGCCAGAGCUUACAAGACUGCUGGUAAAUAUACAGUACAGAUUUAUUUAGAGCAUACAAGAAAACCUUCCGUCUGAGCCAGUGGGCGUCAGCCAGUGGGCAGUGGAGUCAGUGGGCAGUGGAGUCUGUUGCCAGCCUCAGCCAGUGGAAUCUGUUGCCAGCCUCAGCCAGUGGGCAGUGGAGUCUGCUGCCGGCAUGGAUUCACAAAUGUUAGGUGUUCAGUGGUGUUGAAGUCAGGGCAUUGUGAAGACCGCUCAAAGUCCUCCACUCCAAACUCAUCAAACCAUGUUUUUAUGGACCUCACUUUGUGCACUGGAGUACACUCAUGCUGGAACAAGAAAGGGCCUUCCCAGGGAUGGAUUUAUAAUUAAGCAGAGUAGGCAUGUGCCUAAAGGUGCCCUCCAUAUUAUAAAUACCAGCCAGCAUUACCUUCCUAAAACUACCGGAGUGAGAGCUAUAAAUAAAAUAGUAACAGCUAGUCUAACUAUAAGCACAGCAGUGUUAAGUUUUUGUAUAAUUUAAUAUAGCUGUAUAAACUAAAUACAGCAUUUUCAUUGCACCUUCUAAUACCCUUACCCCUAAUGAAAGUAUGGGGCCCGGGGAGGUGCUGUUAUUUCACUGCCGUCGGCCAUCUUAGUUAAGGUCGCUGACACAGAGGUGAAUGGGGAGCGUGCGGGGGUGCUUCAGAUUUCGGUACCUAAAGGCACCUGGGCUUUCAAUCCAGCCCCGAGCCUGCCCCCAAACUGUUGCAACAAAAAUGAAAGCAUAGUUGUCUAAAAUGUUUCUGCCUCCUGUAACAUUCUAACGAACCGUCACUGGAACUAAGGGCCCUAGUCCAAACCCUGAAAAUUAGACACAGUCCAAGCAUAGCAAAUUUUAGUGGUGAAGGGACAUGAAACCCAAAAUGUUUCUUUCAUGAUUCAGACAGAACAUAUCAUUUUAAACAAAUUUCUAAUUUACUUCUAUUCUCUAAUUUGCUUCAUUAUCUUGGUAUUCUUUGUUGAAGAAGCAGCAAUUCCCUACUGAGAGCUAGCUAAGCACAUCAGGUUAAUCAAUGAAAAGAGGCAUAUAUGUGCAGCCACUAAUCAUCAGCUAGCUAACACUAGUGCGUUGCUGUUUCUGAGCCUACCUACGUAUGCUUUUCAACAAAGGAUUCCAAGAGAUCAAAUUAAAUUAGAUGAUAGAAGUAAAUUGGAAAGUUGUUUAAAAUGACAGGCUGUAUCUGAAUUGUAAAAGUUUAAUUUAGACUUUACUGUCCCUUUAAACCAAUAAUUCUAUCCUUGGAGCAUUUGGUCGAUAUUUGCUAUAAAUUAGUUGGGAACCUCAGGGGGGGAAUAUCUUUUUUUUAAGGUAUUUUUCUUUAGCUACACUAGUUUUGUAGAAAUUGUUAUAAAGAAAACAUUAAAAAAUGUGUAUAAUAGGUACAGGUGCAUUUAAAGUGAAUGUAAACUUGAGCGUACUCGCUCAAGUCAUAGGAUAGAAUUUAAAAAAUGAGUGAGACUUUCAUUCAUCAAAUGGGUAAUUUAUCCGGAUCUUCUGAGAUUUUUACAUUUUAAUGCCAGAACGAUAAGCGACGUUCCUCUGCCCGCCAUAGUCCUCAUUUGAUUGACAGAUGACAAAUCUGCAAUCCAUUGUAUGUCAAUCAACCCAUACAGGCAGCAAUGAGUUAGCCAUGCAAUCCAUGUCAUAUCACCAACAUGACAAUCACUCUGGCAAUGCUGAGCAACAAUUUACAGAUGCAGCUAGGAAUACUUCUGUAUACACUAACCACUGCUGCUUAAUAUGUGCCUGCUAAACUGUAUAUGUAGUAUUUGCCAUUAAAAAAUUGUGUACUUUUUUUUUUUUAAAAGCUAUCCAUUAAAAGGGUUACAGCUGUGCCUAUAGUAAUGCUUCUAUUACAAUAUUAUGCCGACCCACUGGGAUGAACUUUUUUUUUUUAUUUUUUAUGACAAUUCCAAUGAACAUCCAAUCAGAGUGUGUGUCAUAUGACACUCUUGAAGUGCAGCCUUUUGAAAGCCCUUAGGAAGCCUAGGUAGAGAGUGGUUAGACUGCUCUCUAUGUCACAGCACAGCCAAAAGAUGGAAUGAAAGGGGCAGAGGAGCAGAAGAUAAAGGAAGAACAAUGCACUACAGAGAGCUAGCUGAACACAUUGUUAAGCCAAUGACAAGUGGAAUAUAUGUGCAGCCAUCAAUCAGCAUCUAGCUCACAGCUCCUGUUCCUACUUAGGCAUGCUUUUCAACAAAGGAUAGCAACAGAAGUAAGCAAAUUAGAUAGUAUAUAAGUAUAUUGGAAAGUUAUUUAAAAUGGUAUGCUCUGUCUGAAUCAUGGAGGAAAAACUUCGGGUUUUAUAUCUCUUUAGAGUAUUGACAUGCUCUGCACGCUCCACAUUAAAACAAAAACGAAUUUCUGGGUUU